AGCAGCCGCGGUAAUUCCAGCUCCAAUAGCGUAUAUUAAAGUUGUUGCAGUUAAAAAGCUCGUAGUUGAAUUUCGGGGUCAGUAGGUCGGUCGUGCCACUGGUAUGAACUGGUCUCACUGAUUCCUCCCUCUUGUAGAACCGUGAUGCCAUUAAUUUGGUGUUGCGGGGAAACAGGACUGUUACUUUGAAAAAUUAGAGUGUUUAAAGCAAGCUAACGCUUGAAUACAUUAGCAUGGAAUAAUGAAAUAGGACGUCUGUAUUAUUUUGUUGGUUUCUAGGAUGGACGUAAUGAUUAAUAGGGAUAGUUGGGGGCAUUAGUAUUCAAUUGUCAGAGGUGAAAUUCUUGGAUUUAUUGAAGACUAACUACUGCGAAAGCAUUUGCCAAGGAUGUUUUCAUUAAUCAAGAACGAAAGUUAGGGGAUCGAAGACGAUCAGAUACCGUCGUAGUCUUAACCAUAAACUAUGCCGACUAGGGAUCGGAUGAUGUUAAUUUUUAAUGUACUUCAUUCGGCGUCCUUA
Molecule: ribosomal RNA, 520 nt
Filed under: uncultured Glomus
Lineage: Eukaryota; Fungi; Glomeromycota; Glomeromycetes; Glomerales; Glomeraceae
Description: SSU rRNA
Rfam family: Eukaryotic small subunit ribosomal RNA
Source: RNAcentral